UGGGGAAUUUUGGACAAUGGGCGAAAGCCUGAUCCAGCAAUGCCGCGUGUGUGAAGAAGGCCUUCGGGUUGUAAAGCACUUUUGUCCGGAAAGAAAUCCUUGGCUCUAAUACAGUCGGGGGAUGACGGUACCGGAAGAAUAAGCACCGGCUAACUACGUGCCAGCAGCCGCGGUAAUACGUAGGGUGCAAGCGUUAAUCGGAAUUACUGGGCGUAAAGCGUGCGCAGGCGGUUUGCUAAGACCGAUGUGAAAUCCCCGGGCUCAACCUGGGAACUGCAUUGGUGACUGGCAGGCUAGAGUAUGGCAGAGGGGGGUUAGAAUUCCACGUGUAGCAGUGAAAUGCGUAGAGAUGUGGAGGAAUACCGAUGGCGAAGGCAGCCCCCUGGGCCAAUACUGACGCUCAUGCACGAAAGCGUGGGGAGCAAACAGGAUUAGAUACCCUGGUAGUCCACGCCCUAAACGAUGUCAACUAGUUGUUGGGGGAUUCAUUUCCUUAGUAACGUAGCUAACGCGUGAAGUUGACCGCCUGGGGAGUACGGUCGCAAGAUUAAAACUUAAAUGGAAUUGACGGGGUCAUAGCUGUUUCCU
Molecule: ribosomal RNA, 588 nt
Filed under: uncultured bacterium
Lineage: Bacteria
Description: partial 16S ribosomal RNA
Rfam family: Bacterial small subunit ribosomal RNA
Source: RNAcentral